GACGAACGCUGGCGGCGUGCUUAACACAUGCAAGUCGAACGAAGAGCGACGGAAGCUUGCUUCUAUCAAUCUUAGUGGCGAACGGGUGAGUAACGCGUAAUCAACCUGCCCUUCAGAGGGGGACAACAGUUGGAAACGACUGCUAAUACCGCAUACGAUCUAAUCUCGGCAUCGAGGAUGGAUGAAAGGUGGCCUCUACAUGUAAGCUAUCACUGAAGGAGGGGAUUGCGUCUGAUUAGCUAGUUGGAGGGGUAACGGCCCACCAAGGCGAUGAUCAGUAGCCGGUCUGAGAGGAUGAACGGCCACAUUGGGACUGAGACACGGCCCAGACUCCUACGGGAGGCAGCAGUGGGGAAUCUUCCGCAAUAGACGAAAGUCUGACGGAGCAACGCCGCGUGAGUGAUGACGGCCUUCGGGUUGUAAAGCUCUGUUAAUCGGGACGAAAGGCCUUCUUGCGAAUAGUGAGAAGGAUUGACGGUACCGGAAGAGAAAGCCACGGCUAACUACGUG
Molecule: ribosomal RNA, 510 nt
Filed under: uncultured bacterium
Lineage: Bacteria
Description: partial 16S ribosomal RNA
Rfam family: Bacterial small subunit ribosomal RNA
Source: RNAcentral